AUGCUUUCACAACUUGACUUCAAAAUAUUUGGUUUGAAGACCAUCAAAGAUCAAUAUGUGCAUGAUGCUGAUUUUAAAGAUGUAAUGCAGAAUUGUAAAGAAGGAAGAAUGUGGAACAAGUUUGUUGUUAACGAUGGAUUUGUGUUUCGUGCUAACAAGCUAUGCAUUCCAGCUAGCUCCGUUCGUCUUUUGUUGUUGCAGGAGGCGCAUGGAGGAGGAUUAAUGGGACACUUUGGCGUGAAGAAGACGGAGGACGUACUUGCUACACAUUUCUUUUGGCCAAAGAUGAGACGGGAUGUUGAGCGUUUUAUUGCUCGCUGCACUACAUGUCAAAAAGCUAAGUCACGACUCAAUCCUCAUGGUUUAUAUAUGCCUUUGCCUGUACCUAGUGUUCCUUGGGAGGAUAUAUCUAUGGACUUUGUUUUAGGUUUACCUCGAACAAAGAAGGGGAGGGAUAGCAUAUUUGUUGUCGUGGAUAGAUUCUCGAAAAUGGCACACUUUAUACCAUGUCAUAAAAGCGAUGAUGCUGUUAAUGUUGCUGAUUUGUUCUUUCGUGAAAUUAUUCGCUUGCAUGGUGUGCCAAAUACUAUUGUUUCAGAUCGUGAUACUAAAUUUCUUAGCCACUUUUGGAGAUGUUUAUGGGCUAAGUUGGGGACUAAACUGCUUUUUAGUACUACUUGUCACCCCCAAACUGAUGGACAAACUGAAGUAGUCAAUAGAACGUUGUCUACUAUGCUUAGGGCUGUUUUGAAGAAUAAUAAGAAAAUGUGGGAGGAAUGCUUGCCUCAUAUUGAAUUUGCUUAUAAUCGUUCAUUGCAUUCUACUACUAAGAUGUGCCCUUUUGAAGUUGUGUAUGGUUUCCUACCUCGUGCACCUAUUGAUUUGUUGCCUCUUCCAUCUUCGGAGAAGGUUAAAUUUGAUGCUAAACAACGUGCUGAAUUGAUUUUAAAAAUGCAUGAGUUAACUAAGGAAAACAUUGAGCGCAUGAAUGCUAAAUAUAAACUUGCUGGAGAUAAGGGUAGAAAACAUGUUGUGUUUGCACCUGGAGAUCUUGUUUGGUUACAUUUGCGUAAGGAUAGAUUUCCUGAUUUGCGCAAAUCAAAGCUCAUGCCAUGGGCUGAUGGUCCCUUUAAGGUGUUAGAGAAAAUAAAUGAUAAUGCAUAUAAACUUGAGCUGCCUGCAGAUUUUGGGGUUAGUCCCACUUUUAACAUUGCAGAUUUGAAGCCUUAUUUGGGUGAGGAAGAUGAACUUCCGUCGAGGACGACUUCAUUUCAAGAAGGGGAGGAUGAUGAGGACAUCAAUACAAUUGUUACACCCACAGCCCCUGCUGCUAUACAUACUGGACCAAUUACUAGAGCUCGCGCACGCCAAUUAAAUUAUCAGGUACUUUCGUUUCUUGGUAAUGAUUCUAAUGUUCAUGAGAAUAUGAUGCUGCCUAAAUUGGAUACAUUUGUUUUGCUUACAAAUGAAGGGCCUAGCUUGGAGAAGGAUGAACAUUGGAGCAAGAACAAGCAUGGAGAUGAUGGCAUGCGCAAGGGGAACAAUAACGGAGUUACAAGUGAUGAUUUCAGGACUUUGAAGCCACCAUAA
Molecule: ribosomal RNA, 1590 nt
Filed under: Triticum aestivum (bread wheat)
Lineage: Eukaryota; Viridiplantae; Streptophyta; Magnoliopsida; Poales; Poaceae
Description: partial small subunit ribosomal RNA
Source: RNAcentral